AGUGAACGCUGGCGGUAGGCCUAACACAUGCAAGUCGAACGGCAGCACAGUAAGAUCUUGCUCUUACGGGUGGCGAGUGGCGGACGGGUGAGGAAUACAUCGGAAUCUACUUUUUCGUGGGGGAUAACGUAGGGAAACUUACGCUAAUACCGCAUACGACCUACGGGUGAAAGCAGGGGAUCUUCUGACCUUGCUCUAUUGAAUGAGCCGAUGUCGGAUUAGCUAGUUGGCGGGGUAAAGGCCCACCAAGGCGACGAUCCGUAGCUGGUCUGAGAGGAUGAUCAGCCACACUGGAACUGAGAAACGGUCCAGACUCCUACGGGAGGCAGCAGUGGGGAAUAUUGGAAAAUGGGCGCAAGCCUGAUCCAGCCAUACCGCGUGGGUGAAGAAGGCCUUCGGGUUGUAAAGCCCUUUUGUUGGGAAAGAAAAGCAGCAGGUUAAUACCCCGCUGUUCUGACGGUACCCAAAGAAUAAGCACCGGCUAACUUCGUG
This 492-nucleotide ribosomal RNA is filed under the name uncultured bacterium. Its description in RNAcentral is "partial 16S ribosomal RNA". It matches the Rfam family "Bacterial small subunit ribosomal RNA", at positions 29 to 507 of the family's 1533-position model. The record is from RNAcentral.